Molecule: long non-coding RNA, 234 nt
Organism: Urocitellus parryii (Arctic ground squirrel)
Lineage: Eukaryota; Metazoa; Chordata; Mammalia; Rodentia; Sciuridae
Source: RefSeq, a predicted model, not a curated record
CGCUUGACAGGCGGGGACCGUCCCAACCGCCCGGCCCGCUCCGGGAGAGGCCGGCGGGGGAGCGACGCCGCGCCGCGCGCAGUGCUGUGUUGGAACAGAGGGCUUCACACAUGCUAGUGCCAGAGAUCCAACUCAGUGCAAGUGUUCUACCACUGAACUAAAUCAACUAAAUCUCUAGUCCCUGUCAGUACUUUUCUUUUCUUUCUUUUUUCUUUUUUUGUACUGGAGAUUGAA